AAAAGAGAGAGAUAGAUUAUAGUCUGUUUGACAAGGUAUUUGUAGAGACUACAGAAAACGUCCCAUAAAGCCUCAUGUACUGUGAGUCCUGCCGAGGGAGUGCCCUGGUGAAAUUUAUUGCUUAAAUUUCAUACAAUGUGAAUCACUUAAAAAAUAAAUUCUAAGAACUGACUAGAACAAUUAAAAACAAGUGAACAGUAGAACCAGUGAACCUGGAUUCUUAGGAUUUUUGUCAAGGGCAAUUUUCUGUGCAGGUUUUCUGAUGUCUAGAAGUGACUUGAUCUGCUGUCUUUCCCUCCAGAAGACUCAUGGUGCCCUUCUACUUGUUGCGUGUAUUUUCUUGGUGAUUCUAGGAAUUAAUCAUUCUUAGAUUACUAUGUCAUGGUCAGAUUUGCAGUCAAGAGUUGAUCAAGCAGGACAAACAAGCAGAUAGAUACAGCAUAAUCACAUGAGCUUUUUUUCCAGAUGGAAAAAACCCCAGAAAAUAGUACCAGAAGCACAGUAUCCCAUGGUUAUUUUGAGCCAUUUCAUGGAUAAUGUGCAGUAAAACAUGAUUUUUUUUUUUACCAAAAGACAGUUUUAUGCCUACAGUUACACUACGAAGAUAAAAUCCCUCUGGCAAAAACUGCAGGGGGAGCUGACCGUGGUUAUCCACAGACACAAAAUGCUCAACAAAUAGUUAAACUAUCAAUGAGACUGCUGUUUUUCUAGAAAAUAGUAUGAAACUUCUAUUAACUUUUAAGUGUUAUGACUAUAUUUUAUGACUGAAUAUAUUACUGGUAACAAACUGUCCUCCACUGCAUGUUUCCCACUUGAUCUGGCAUAAAAGCAUAACCAUUUUUAUGUGAAGUAACAUACCACCCUACAAAAAAAAGCAGAGUAUCUUCAUACCUGAAGAAAAAAUCAGCAGUUUAAGAUGCUCUGGUUUUUUUGUGUGAUUGUCCUUCCUUUCUUUAUGAGAGUUCUUAUUAAAAAACAGGCUUUGGAAUAGCGUGAUGUAUUAAAUGAGGCCUAUUUAAUCCUUAGGGAAUCGCCAUUACUGUCUUAACCUCUGCUCCUGCAGCUGAAGUUGCUUAUUCUUUGCCUCUGUGCUGCGAACUGUGACAGUCACACCUUAUUCCAACCCUCCUACCACCUGCAGACUGGUUUCCUUUCUGGGUCUGCCGUAUUCCAGUCGGAAUCCUAAACUUCAUUCCUGGCUGCAUGUUCUGCAACAACCUUGACUUCUUCACCGCCCGCUGAACUGCUUCCGUUCUCCUGUCUGAAGAAGACUCUGCAGCCCAAGUGACACCCCAGUAUUUUUUGGAAGGGGGGAACCAUUUGAAAAAUGACAGUAAACUACUUGUGUUUAGUAAUCUGUAUCUUGUAUGUUUUAUUAGCUUGAUUUUGAAACAACUACUCUUACGUUAUUAACAAUUUACUUCCCCAUGUAAUCUACAGACUCUUAUUUUUCUUUCCGAAGAUCACAAUGAUGGGCAUAAAAAGUAUUUGAAGACUUCUCCUCCCUGGCCCUGAGUUUCAAAUCUGGUAUUUCAGAGUUUCACAGCUGAAGGAGGCCUGCUGUGCUGUCGUCUUUUCUCCAGACCUGCUGGGAAGCCUGGACACCAAGACCAUAAUGAUAGAGUAGCAUUUUGUAACUCAGCAGGAGUGGUUGUACAUGUGCAUCUGCUAUCUGUCAUCCAGUGCUGUAGAAAGAAAAGACUUGCCUGCUAACAGUGGAGAUUGCUGUGCGGUGGCUUUGGACCUGAAAGAGAUGUUUAAAGGUUACAACAAUAUGGAUGCUGGAGCCAGUCUCAGGCAAAAAGGAAAUUAUAGCAGACUUGCAUGAACUGCACUGCAUGUGUAUGCUAGUCUUCAGGGCUCUUGCAUAUUCCGGGAAACACCUUACAGGUACCUAUCUGAUUGCAGUGCAUAGGAGCUGUACUGUUCAUAGGAGCUGUACUGUCCAUAACCUCUGAGUCAUCUGCUCCUGACUCAUGGUGAGUCAUUACAAAUAGAAAACCAAGGCACAGAAAUAGUGUAUUCACCUUAAAAUCAGACCAGCAGUCAGUAGCAAAGCUGGAAAGUAAACCUGUAUUUUAAAUUGGUUGGUAAUCUGAAGCUUCCAUCUUGGCUAUAACUUUUUGUGAAGAUUAGAAUCCAUUUUUAUUACCUUAUUCAUAAUUAGACCAUGCAGCAAUCUUGCUUUUACCUUUGUACCUUAUUCACUAUGGAUUGUAUCAUCACAGGCCGGUAAUCAGAAAGCUUUUUGCAGAAUGGAAUUAUACACAUAUUAGGAGGGUUCCCAACAAAAUUCUCCUUACAUAAUGAGGUAAAAUUUCUUUUUUCUAUUUCAUAUCUCAUAGUAUAAAUACUUUGGUGUACUAUACUGCCAACUGACCUUUCUUCCCCUAGCAAAGCAGUCAGACAUACACUCUCACAUUUCUCCUCAGUGAGACCUCCUACACGAAUCAGGAAGUCUCCCUGCUCUUACCUUAUUACAAACUGGAUGUUGAUGCUGUUCUUCACUCUCUAAACACCAUUUGAACUGAACAAUAUUACUUGGGACAUCUUGUAGGGAAUCUGAGAUUCUUUUAGAAAGAGACGAGACAGUUACCUAAAAAAUAAUAAUAAAAAAAUGGACUCACAAAGUUUUUUAAGCUGUCAGAUAGACAAAAAACAGCACCUAGACACAUUACUCUUAGAGCUCUUCUGAAAAACACACAAGAUCCCUCUGUCCCUUCAGCGGCUACUUCAGGCUUAUUGACACUCUGUGUCUAGAAAUCGUGAUCUAUGAAAAAAGACUGAAGGAACUCAGUUUUCUUAGUGUAGAGAAGACUGAUGGUAAGAGGUGAAAAUAACAUUCAAGUAAUUUUAAGGUAAUUGCACAGAGGAAGGGAAUAAAUUCCUUUGGUAACAGGAGGAGAAACAAUGCGUGAAAUCUUUCCUUUAGUGAGAAUAGUGAAACAGCCCAUGAAAAAGCUUGAUUUCCAUCCAGAGAGUACUUUUAGAAGAGGCUGACAAAUACUGGCCAGGAAUGCUGUAGGGACAGUUGGUCACUCCCUGGAAAAAGGGCUGAACUAGAUGUCUCGAGAUUUUUCAUUUGCUAUGAACUAGAUAGCUGUUUAAACAUCUACAAAACUUUGUAAGCACUAUCCCAUCUUUGGUCAAUACUUCUUUUGCUCAUUGACUUUUGCCUGAAACAUGAGCUUAUAAAACAUAUUUACCUUUCUACUCCUCAGUGACAGCAUUGUUUCCACCUCCAUUUGUGUAUUAAGUUUUACUUAUAAUUUUAAACAAAUUCUAUUACUUGGUGGAUGUUAAUUUACUGAUCAACCAAACCUAUGAAUUUUCCGUCUCUUGGGAAUGAAUACUUAUAAAGUCUGUGCAUCUUGCUAUCUAUCCUC
Molecule: long non-coding RNA, 3386 nt
Organism: Falco peregrinus (peregrine falcon)
Lineage: Eukaryota; Metazoa; Chordata; Aves; Falconiformes; Falconidae
Exons: 3
Source: RefSeq, a predicted model, not a curated record